RNAcentral lists this ribosomal RNA (599 nucleotides) under Candida tropicalis. Its description in RNAcentral is "eukaryotic LSU rRNA". It matches the Rfam family "Eukaryotic large subunit ribosomal RNA", at positions 45 to 660 of the family's 3401-position model. The record is from RNAcentral. Lineage: Eukaryota; Fungi; Ascomycota; Pichiomycetes; Serinales; Debaryomycetaceae.
AAAAAGCGGAGGAAAAGAAACCAACAGGGAUUGCCUUAGUAGCGGCGAGUGAAGCGGCAAAAGCUCAAAUUUGAAAUCUGGCUCUUUCAGAGUCCGAGUUGUAAUUUGAAGAAGGUAUCUUUGGGUCUGGCUCUUGUCUAUGUUUCUUGGAACAGAACGUCACAGAGGGUGAGAAUCCCGUGCGAUGAGAUGAUCCAGGCCUAUGUAAAGUUCCUUCGAAGAGUCGAGUUGUUUGGGAAUGCAGCUCUAAGUGGGUGGUAAAUUCCAUCUAAAGCUAAAUAUUGGCGAGAGACCGAUAGCGAACAAGUACAGUGAUGGAAAGAUGAAAAGAACUUUGAAAAGAGAGUGAAAAAGUACGUGAAAUUGUUGAAAGGGAAGGGCUUGAGAUCAGACUUGGUAUUUUGUAUGUUACUUCUUCGGGGGUGGCCUCUACAGUUUAUCGGGCCAGCAUCAGUUUGGGCGGUAGGAGAAUUGCGUUGGAAUGUGGCACGGCUUUGGUUGUGUGUUAUAGCCUUCGUCGAUACUGCCAGCCUAGACUGAGGACUGCGGUUUAUACCUAGGAUGUUGGCAUAAUGAUCUUAAGUCGCCCGUCUUGAACC